This 501-nucleotide ribosomal RNA is filed under the name uncultured bacterium. RNAcentral's name for it is "partial 16S ribosomal RNA". It matches the Rfam family "Bacterial small subunit ribosomal RNA", at positions 899 to 1397 of the family's 1533-position model. The record is from RNAcentral.
ACUCAAAGGAAUAGACGGGGGCUCGCACAAGCGGUGGAGCAUGCGGUUUAAUUCGAUGUUACGCGAAAAACCUUACCAACCCUUGACAUGGUGGUCGUAGCUUGCAGAGAUGCAGGCGUCAGUUCGGCUGGACCACACACAGGUGUUGCAUGGCUGUCGUCAGCUCGUGUCGUGAGAUGUUGGGUUAAGUCCCGCAACGAGCGCAACCCUCAUCCUUAUUUGCCAGCGGGUAAUGCCGGGAACUAUAAGGAAACUACCGGUGAUAAGCCGGAGGAAGGUGGGGACGAAGUCAAGUCAUCAUGGCCCUUACGGGUUGGGCUACACGCGUGCUACAAUGGUGUCUACAGAGGGAAGCAAGACGGCAACGUGGAGCGAAUCCCUAAAAGACAUCUCAGUUCGGAUUGUUCUCUGCAACUCGAGAGCAUGAAGUUGGAAUCGCUAGUAAUCGCGGAUCAGCAUGCCGCGGUGAAUACGUUCUCGGGCCUUGUACACACCGCCCGU